This is a long non-coding RNA of Oreochromis niloticus (Nile tilapia), 1439 nucleotides long. RefSeq lists it as uncharacterized. The transcript is spliced from 2 exons. Lineage: Eukaryota; Metazoa; Chordata; Actinopteri; Cichliformes; Cichlidae. The record is from RefSeq and is a predicted model, not a curated record.
GACAAUUUAUAAUUCUUUUUGUUAUCUGUUUGAAUGUUUUUUUUUCUUAUGCAAAAAUAAAGAUUAUGUGAAUUAUAGAAAUGUGGAUGCAAUAGUAAUGCACUUGUGCAUAACCCUCCAAAAAGCCAACACCCCCAGAGGCUGGAAUCCAAAGUGGGACUGAAUCAGGUGGUGAGUGUUGCAAGUCAGUUCACUGGAAACCAGAACAACUAACACUGCAGUGGCUGGGCAAAACUGGCAGAGAUUCUCAGGCACAGUUGGAGGUAAAUAUACAGCUGAUGAUCACAAUGUAUGCAAAGAGCCAGCUGGAGGUCUGGCUCCACCCAGGGCGCAGUUACCCGCCCCACUCAGGGCAUGGUUACUUGCGUCACCUGGGCGUGGUUACUUGCCCCACCUGCAGCAGAAGACAGAAAAACAAGCAUGCCCAGAGCCUGACAAUAUUUCAGUAAUCUGUGCUUAUUUAUUUAUUUAUUUAAGAUUCUGAUGUUUAAUUAUUGCAGAUAUGGAUGUUUCCAGUAGCCCAUGUCUUGUAUCUCAAAUAUUACACCAGAAAUAAUUUGUUUGUUCUUGUUCAACCAAGUUAUUAGACAUUUGUGUAUGUAGCUUGUGUAUGAACAAACUGUCUGGUCAUGUGAAUGUGCAUUAUUUGACUAUAUGAAUAAUAAUAGCAAUAAUAAUUAGUAUUAUUCUUAACAAUAGGAAUAGAAAUAAUGAUAAAAGAGUGGGUCUAUGUGGGAACUGGGAAGAAUGAUCACCCUAGAUGCUGGGGAUGGCACAGGGGAACCCUCAUUGGUCGUACUGUGUUAUUUCAAACAGGGGGAGGUGUCAUUAUUGGUCAGGUGAAUAGUGAACAGAAUGGAUGAUCAUGGUGUUGUAAAAGUCCAGACCUUGGCUUGACUGAAACGCUGUGAUGGGACUUUAAAAGAGCUCUGCAUAAACACAAGCCUGCAAACGUCAGUGAUCUGAAGCAAUGUUGGAAAGUUUCUGUAUAAAAGGCCCCAAAGUUCACAGAAUAGUUUUAUUGGUGUUUAUAAGUUUAUAUAAGUUCAUUUAAUUUUCAACCCUCUCCAAUUUGGGCCAGCCCACCGUCUAGUGACAUCAUCCGGUUAGUAAGGUGGGCAGUUUAAUGUCGGAUGAGCAGUGUUGGUCCGGAGGGGGUGCACUGAUUCCUGGGGAAUGUUAUGUGUGCGUAAAUGACAAAAAACCACACACACACACACACACACACACACACCUAUGUACACCCGCUGUGUUUACAGCCCCAGAAAUUGAGUGGUGACAAUAAAGUGCCUCAAACAGAACCUCAAGCUCCCUUCUUCUUUCCUACUCUGGGACAAUUUGGCCUUAAGUGGUGUUCUGGCCGACACACCGGAGUGACCGUAGUGCUCAAAGACUGAAUCAGUGCCACAGCCGUGCCCAUCUUUGAUAUCUCCACUACA